CCUGGCGGCCAGAGCGAGCGGGAACCACCCGAUCCCAUCCCGACCUCGGAAGUGAAACCGCUUAGCGCCGAUGAUAGUGCAGAUACCUGUGCGAAAGUAGGGAACUGCCAGGC
This 113-nucleotide ribosomal RNA is filed under the name Methylococcus geothermalis. The record is from RNAcentral. RNAcentral also lists the same sequence under 3 other names. Lineage: Bacteria; Pseudomonadati; Pseudomonadota; Gammaproteobacteria; Methylococcales; Methylococcaceae.